This 122-nucleotide microRNA precursor is filed under the name Linum usitatissimum (flax). Lineage: Eukaryota; Viridiplantae; Streptophyta; Magnoliopsida; Malpighiales; Linaceae. The record is from RNAcentral.
UGAAAGGUGAUCACUGAGUUAUUGGCCCGGUUCACUCAGAUGGAAGAUGCCGUUUAAUUUUCUUAAUUAUUCAGCCUAGCUCAUUUUGAUUGAGCCGUGCCAAUAUCUCAAUGCUCCUUUCA